RNAcentral lists this unclassified non-coding RNA (334 nucleotides) under soil metagenome. Its description in RNAcentral is "partial contains 5.8S ribosomal RNA, internal transcribed spacer 2, and large subunit ribosomal RNA". The stretch from base 1 to 120 matches the Rfam family "5.8S ribosomal RNA", at positions 35 to 154 of the family's 154-position model. The record is from RNAcentral.
GAUGAAGAACGUAGCGAAAUGCGAUAAGUAAUGUGAAUUGCAGAAUUCAGUGAAUCAUCGAAUCUUUGAACGCACAUUGCGCCCCCCAGUAUUCUGGCGGGCAUGCCUGUUCGAGCGUCAUUUCAACCAUCAAGCCCUGCUUGUGUUGGGGUCCUGCGGCUGCCCGCAGGCCCUGAAAACCAGUGGCGGGCUCGCUAGUCACACCGAGCGCAGUAGCACAUCUCGCUCAGGGCGUGCGGCGGGCUCCAGCCGUUAAAGCACCCACCUUUCGCAAGGUUGACCUCGGAUCAGGUAGGAAUACCCGCUGAACUUAAGCAUAUCAAUAAGCGGAGUA